Molecule: unclassified non-coding RNA, 148 nt
Organism: Papio anubis (olive baboon)
Lineage: Eukaryota; Metazoa; Chordata; Mammalia; Primates; Cercopithecidae
Rfam family: Metazoan signal recognition particle RNA
About the family: The signal recognition particle (SRP) is a universally conserved ribonucleoprotein. It is involved in the co-translational targeting of proteins to membranes.
Source: Ensembl
GCUGGGCAUGGUGGAACAUGCCUGUAGUCCCAGCUACUCAGGAGGCUGAGGUGGGAGGAUCUCUUGAGCCCAGGAAGUUGAGGCUGCAGUGAGCCAUGAUCAUGCCACUGCACUCCUGCCUGGGCAACACAGUGAGAACCUGUCUUUA